UACGUAGGGGGGCUAGCGUUGUCCGGAUUUAUUGGGCGUAAAGAGCGUGUAGGCGGCCAUGUAGGUCCGGUGUGAAAACUCGAGGCUUAACCUCGAGAUGUCAUCGGAAACCAUUUGGCUAGAGUCCGGAAGAGGAGAGUGGAAUUCCUGGUGUAGCGGUGAAAUGCGCAGAUAUCAGGAAGAACACCAAUGGCGAAAAGCAGCUCUCUGGGACGGUACUGACGCUGAGACGCGAAAGCGUGGGGAGCGAACAGG
RNAcentral lists this ribosomal RNA (255 nucleotides) under uncultured bacterium. Its description in RNAcentral is "partial 16S ribosomal RNA". It matches the Rfam family "Bacterial small subunit ribosomal RNA", at positions 524 to 776 of the family's 1533-position model. The record is from RNAcentral.